UACGUAGGGGGCAAGCGUUGUCCGGAAUCAUUGGGCGUAAAGAGCGCGUAGGCGGUCCGGUAAGUCAGCUGUGAAAGCCGGGGGCUCAACCCCCGGAGGCCGGCUGAUACUGCCGGGCUAGAGUCCGGAAGAGGCGAGUGGAAUUCCUGGUGUAGCGGUGAAAUGCGCAGAUAUCAGGAGGAACACCAAUGGCGAAGGCAGCUCGCUGGGACGGUACUGACGCUGAGGCGCGAAAGCGUGGGGAGCAAACAGG
Molecule: ribosomal RNA, 253 nt
Filed under: uncultured bacterium
Lineage: Bacteria
Description: partial 16S ribosomal RNA
Rfam family: Bacterial small subunit ribosomal RNA
Source: RNAcentral